GGAGGAUGCGAGCGUUGUUCGGAAUCACUGGGCUUAAAGAGCGUGUAGGCGGGGAUGUAGGGGUGUCUUGUGAAAGCCCCCGGCUCAACCGGGGAAUAGCUUGGCAAACCGACAUUCUUGAGGCAGGUAGAGGCGACUGGAACCUUUGGUGGAGAGGUGAAAUUCGUAGAUAUCAAAGGGAACGCCGGUGGCGAAAGCGAGUCGCUGGGCCUGUCCUGACGCUGAGGCGCGAAAGCGUAGGUAGCGAACGGGAUUAGAUACCCCGGUAGUCUACGCCGUAAACGAUGCGCACUAGGCACGAGGAGUUCUGACGCUCUUCGUGCCGUAGCAAAAGUGUUAAGUGCGCCGCCUGGGGAGUACGGCCGCAAGGCUA
Molecule: ribosomal RNA, 373 nt
Filed under: uncultured organism
Description: partial 16S ribosomal RNA
Rfam family: Bacterial small subunit ribosomal RNA
Source: RNAcentral